UCCUCCCACAAUCAGAGCACCGUCUCCGGCCCCUCCGGCGCCACCCCAUCUUUCCCCUCCGCCAUCCCCACCUCCUUGCCAAGCCCCUUGCACCAGAUCGACCGGGACCGCCCAAGAAACGACGACGGGAGGAACGGCGCGUUGCCGCCGCGGCUCCUCCGUCGCGUGCGUCGUCGUGCGUUGAGAAGGUGGGAGGGCGCCGCCUCGGGUCGACGCCGCCGUCGCGGCUCCUCCACACCAUGGCCGACGUAUGCUCGGCGGCGGCCUCCGACGAAACCCUAGCCGCCGUCUUCGCCCAGAUAGAGCCGGUGGAAGAGCGGCGAGCCGUUGCCGGGUGAGGGGAAGUGCUGCAGGAGCGCGUCCUGGAGGAGGCCGGCAACACAGGUGGCGAGAUGCAACCACUGGUGGGGUAAAGCUACCAAACAUGGGAGCAAGGGUGAUGAGGGACUCCUCCAUGAGUGAAGCCCUUCUCUUCCUCUCAAUGCCCCUCAGAUCCCUCUUUCACUUUCUCUCUAUCCACAGAUAGGGCGACGCGUGAGACUGCAGGAGGGAAAGCAGGUGUGGCAUACAGAGGAGGCACGACCACGGCCACAAUCGGAAAGCUUAGGCAUGGAUUUGAGCAAAAGAAGAGUCAAAGGAAUUUGGGUCCUCUAUCUUGCAUCUAGGGUUUCAGUGUACAGAAGAUUCUUACCAAUGGUGAUAAUAGGCAGCAUGUGAGUUAAUAUUUUCCAUGUCUGGUACAAGAAAUCAUAUCUUCCACACCGCUAUUUCCUUGUCUCUUGUACUCUGUUGUCUCCACACAAUACUGUUUCUCGAAUUCUAUAUCUCCUCUCUUUAAGCUACAGGCAGGAAAUACAGUUGAGGGUUGCUGCCGGAGCUUGGCGUGAGUUCUUGUGAUGUCAUGGUGAGGUUUCUAAAAGAGAUUGUUGUUUCGUCCUCGAUGCAGAUGCAAAAGGAGAGUUGGUGAAGGAACAUAAAGUUUCAGUAAAUCCAUUAAAGGCUGUCAGAUAUUUUCUAGCUGUGCAAUGCUGUGUUGCAGUAUAGGCUUUUCUUAACUUCUCUUAGCUGAGUUUUGGUUUUAACAUAUAUUGCUUCUAAUGCAACAUAGUUUUUGUAAAUGGAGAUUCCCAGCUAAUAUUUACUUUUCUCCGAGAAAUGAUGUUUACGUAUUUGCUCUUUGCAAGAAUAUAUUGAUGCCCUAGAACUAUAGGAGUGCAAAAUAAGGUUAAUAACCAGUUAUUUAAGUUCCUGCUGCUUUGAUUCUUUGACUAAUAAACAUGCCUGCCAAUGUUCAACUCUAAAAGAAUUAACAUGUUUUAAAUUUGAUGUACUGGAAAUAUUUGUUGCUGUGCAUUUCUUUUACAGCUAUCUGUACUUACAGGUUUUUGUCAGUGUUACCCUUGACCCUGUAGUCUUUUACUACUUAAUUGCCCUAAUAGCUAUAUUUUGCACUUUUUGAAGCUUCAUUUACACAAAAUUUAAUUACCUUCUUCUGAACUUUCUAUUGUUGCAGCUUAAGGGACUCGAUGUUGAAGUUGACCCGGCAUAGUGACAGACAUGUAAUGUACUAGCUACCAUGCAUGUCUUUCAACUUCUACUUUGGAUAUGCAUGUUGUCUGUAUUUGUUAGAAUGCAUAGCUGAUUCCUGGACUAAUGCAUGAAAGAUAGUCAAUCUUCUUGUAAUUUUAUAUAUAGAAUGGAUAAAUGAGAUAAUCUGAGAAAGAAAUUCCACUUUAAAAGAAUAGCAUAGAUUAGUUGACAUCAAUGAAGUAUUUGAAAAAAAAAUCUUAGGAACAAGUGAGUUACAGCCAUAUAGAAUGGAUAAAUGAGAUAAUCUGGGAGGGAAAUUCCACUUUAAAAGAAUAGCAUAGAUUAGUUGACAUCAAUUAAGUCUUUUUUUUAAAAUAAAUCUUUGGAACAAGUGAGUACUGCCUAUUUUUACAAGUGGUUUUGUUCUUUCUCUUGUUCUACUUCUAAAUGCCUCUAGGCUACCCGGCCAACUGAGGCACUCCAGGGGGCAACUCUUCGUUGGCCGUCCGAUUCACUUGGUCGUACACGUUUUCCCUCCCGCAGUGAUUCUGAGUCGUGCAUUUUACCCUUCCCUCGUUCACGUUGGCUCAGUGGUGAGAUGUCCAUGACGAUUGGACCCCCUUGUGAGUGGGGUCAUGAGGCUGAGAGAGAAGAACAAGUCCUCGGCGUCAGUGGUUUCUCCCAACCACGGUGAAACCCUAGAGCAACGCGAGCCUCCUCCUGUCCCCAAUCGGGUGCAUCCUCUUCUCCCCCAGUCCCAUCUCCUAUUCCCCUCCGCCGCCUCUCUCAUUUUCUCUCCCACGCUGGAUGGAGGCAGCACGAGGCCGGGGCUCCAACCCGUGCAGCAGAGGCGGGGAACAUAGGCGGCAGGCUGGGCGACGAGCGGCGGUUGGGGUGGGCCGGUGCGGGGAAGGGAGGCUGAUGGUUGUCGCGGGACCUCCGACGGCGGCGGCAAUCGGAUAGCAGCGGGGCUCUCUCACGCAGGCGGCUGGACGUGGUGGGGCUGGGCCGGUGCGGGUAAGGGCUGCUGCUGGUUUUUGCGGGAGCUCCGACGGCGGCGGCGGUCAGACGGCCCCGGGGCCUCUCACGGUCGAGGCUCUCUCACGCCGCCCCUCCUCAUGCGACGAGGCACAAUAGGGCGGAGCUGAGCAAGGGCUUCACAUGGCGCCCCCUCCUCCAGCUCCCCAAAUCGAAUCGGCCAAGGCACAUGUACGGCAAGAGGAGGCGCCACAGCAUGGUGGUGAGGCAUGGCGCGCCGGAGCUGCGUCCAGGUGGAUUGCGCACGAGCGAAGUCGCUGGCCUCCUCGCAGGUCCAGUGCACAAGCGCGGAGGAGCGGCGCAAACAAUCUUGAUGAGGCACGCGGCUGUAAGAGCUGGGACCAAGAAACAGAAGUAUGAGAAAUGGCAGGGUCUACGAGCUGGGAACAAGAAACAGAAGUAUGAGAAAAUUAGUGAGCGGAAGAUCACCACUUGACUUGAGGCUCCUUCAUAGAUACCCUUCUGAAUUUCAGUCAUACUUCCUUUACUGCCGUUCACUACAUUUUGAGAACAAUCCAGACUAUCAAUAGAUGUGGUGUUUCCAUUAUUCUUCUCUCAUGAAAGCCUGCAGGACCAAAUCAUGGUUUAUAAUUCCAUUAUGGAAUGUUGGAGACGGAGGUUCUACGAUUUCGUAGGUUUGUUUCUCGUUACAUCCUCAACUGGGCUCUGGUUCUGUGCUCCUCUGCUUUGUUAAGGGUUUGGUGUUCCCAGUCAGCAAACUGGGUCAGUGAUCCAACAGAUAACCUUGUGGGAAUCUUACGAGCAGUGUCCUUGUUGUAACUUUGCUGAUCAUAUACAUGUAAGAUUGCAAAAAUCAUUACCACUCAAUAGCAAUCUCUCUCCGAUCACCACUUCGAGUGCAUGUGAGCCUGGAGUAGUAAACUUGUUGUGUAAGUUUUUCCUUUGUAAUUUUAAUGCAGCGAGUGGGUCGGUUUUCUGUUGGCGGCAUCCCUGAUGCUAGAGGUGGGUGCGUUGUUCUGGGCCAGUGAAAGGAGAGGAGCAACAAUAAAAUUGAUGUUCUAUCAAAUAAUGUUUUCAAAACAUAUCUAUUCAGGGAGAUUUAAUUAUGGCUAUAAUUACUGUACUAAAUGUCCAUGGAGUCCUAGGAACAAUGAACUUACUCUAUUGAGAACUUGUUGAUUUGGAUGUUGGGGUUUUUUCCAUGAUUACUUGUAGUGUUGCCAUCUCCAUUCAGUUAUCAGUAAAAAAUAGUAGCGUCUAGGUGAAUAAUCACUGCUCACUGACAUGCCUACAACUUUUGGGAAAUGAACUUGUUUGGUAUGUUUAAUUUAAUGGCAUAUUAAACCUGGUGUUGCUUGUGGCCAAUGAUAUAUUGUUAGCAACUGUAAAUGUUUAGUUCAAUGCAAUGUCAUUCUUCUGAAUUAUUUGAGAGCUGCAUAUGAUGUUCAUAUCUCGCAAGACCAUUGAAGAGGUAGCACCUUAUGUGUUUUAGGUACGAUGGUGGCCAGAUGGGGGUUUGAGACAAGAGGCAAGGCUGGAUGGAGCUUUGAGGGCCUCUGGUUUGGCGGCGGCAUGUGCCUAUCAUGGAGGAAGUGGUUACAAUAUCCAUUUGAAAGAUGGAGCGGGCACAAAAUAAGUUCCUGGUACAAUGGUGGCCAGAUGGGGUUGAGACAAGAGGCAAGGCUGGAUGGAGCGUUGAGGGCCUCCAGUUUGGCACGUGUGUCGAUCUGGAAGCACGCUAUUAGAAAAUUACCACGAAAUCAUUAUUGAGCUUCAACCGUUCCUAAUAUACUUAUGGCAAUAUUAUUAUUAGAUGAACCACUGCCUAUUUCUAUCUAUGUUAGAAUUUAUGUUAUGUGUAGCUAAUGGGGGACCAAUCAUGAGCCUCACGGUUUAAAGUCAACAAAUCUCAAUCCAAAACUUGCAGUUACAAUAU
Non-coding RNA from Lolium perenne, 4465 nucleotides. The record is from RefSeq and is a predicted model, not a curated record. Lineage: Eukaryota; Viridiplantae; Streptophyta; Magnoliopsida; Poales; Poaceae.